CAGCAGCCGCGGUAAUACGGAGGGUGCAAGCGUUAAUCGGAAUUACUGGGCGUAAAGCGUGCGUAGGCGGUUCGUUAAGUCUGUUGUGAAAGCCCCGGGCUCAACCUGGGAAUGGCAAUGGAUACUGGCGAGCUAGAGUGUGUCAGAGGAUGGUGGAAUUCCCGGUGUAGCGGUGAAAUGCGUAGAGAUCGGAAGGAACACCUGUGGCGAAAGCGGCUCACUGGACCAUUACUGACGCUGAGGCGCGAAAGCUAGGGGAGCAAACAGGAUUAGAUACCCCCGUAGUCCCUGUCUCUUAUAA
RNAcentral lists this ribosomal RNA (301 nucleotides) under uncultured bacterium. Its description in RNAcentral is "partial 16S ribosomal RNA". It matches the Rfam family "Bacterial small subunit ribosomal RNA", at positions 509 to 809 of the family's 1533-position model. The record is from RNAcentral.